This 85-nucleotide transfer RNA is filed under the name Felis catus (domestic cat). It matches the Rfam family "tRNA". Rfam says of the family: Transfer RNA (tRNA) molecules are approximately 80 nucleotides in length. Their secondary structure includes four short double-helical elements and three loops (D, anti-codon, and T loops). Further hydrogen bonds mediate the characteristic L-shaped molecular structure. tRNAs have two regions of fundamental functional importance: the anti-codon, which is responsible for specific mRNA codon recognition, and the 3' end, to which the tRNAs corresponding amino acid is attached (by aminoacyl-tRNA synthetases). tRNAs cope with the degeneracy of the genetic code in two manners: having more than one tRNA (with a specific anti-codon) for a particular amino acid; and 'wobble' base-pairing, i.e. permitting non-standard base-pairing at the 3rd anti-codon position. Lineage: Eukaryota; Metazoa; Chordata; Mammalia; Carnivora; Felidae. The record is from Rfam by way of RNAcentral.
GUCUGGGUGGCUCAGUUGGUUAAGCACCCGACUUUGACUCAGGUCAUGAUCUCACAGUCCGUGAGUUCAAACCCCACUCCGGACU